Molecule: ribosomal RNA, 470 nt
Filed under: uncultured bacterium
Lineage: Bacteria
Description: partial 16S ribosomal RNA
Rfam family: Bacterial small subunit ribosomal RNA
Source: RNAcentral
UGGGGAAUCUUCCGCAAUGGACGAAAGUCUGACGGAGCAACGCCGCGUGAGUGAUGACGGCCUUCGGGUUGUAAAGCUCUGUGAUCGGGGACGAAUGGCUGGUAUGCUAAUACCAUAUCAGAGUGACGGUACCCGAAUAGCAAGCCACGGCUAACUACGUGCCAGCAGCCGCGGUAAUACGUAGGUGGCAAGCGUUGUCCGGAAUUAUUGGGCGUAAAGCGCGCGCAGGCGGCUUCUUAAGUCCAUCUUAAAAGUGCGGGGCUUAACCCCGUGAUGGGAUGGAAACUGGGAGGCUGGAGUAUCGGAGAGGAAAGUGGAAUUCCUAGUGUAGCGGUGAAAUGCGUAGAGAUUAGGAAGAACACCGGUGGCGAAGGCGACUUUCUGGACGACAACUGACGCUGAGGCGCGAAAGCGUGGGGAGCAAACAGGAUUAGAUACCCUGGUAGUCCACGCCGUAAAACGAUGAAUAC